UCUCGCAUUCGGGUUUUGCUUUAAAAUUUCAUUACCGAUUGCGUGCAACAAGUGCGUUUUACCAAGACCUGUUCCGCCAUA
Molecule: antisense RNA, 81 nt
Filed under: Glaesserella parasuis SH0165
Lineage: Bacteria; Pseudomonadati; Pseudomonadota; Gammaproteobacteria; Pasteurellales; Pasteurellaceae
Description: Haemophilus parasuis SH0165 antisense RNA of dnaA mRNA
Rfam family: antisense RNA of dnaA mRNA
Source: Rfam by way of RNAcentral